This 253-nucleotide ribosomal RNA is filed under the name uncultured bacterium. RNAcentral's name for it is "partial 16S ribosomal RNA". It matches the Rfam family "Bacterial small subunit ribosomal RNA", at positions 524 to 776 of the family's 1533-position model. The record is from RNAcentral.
UACGUAUGGUGCAAGCGUUAUCCGGAUUUACUGGGUGUAAAGGGAGCGCAGGCGGCACGGCAAGCCUGAUGUGAAAGCCCGCGGCCCAACCGCGGGACUGCAUUGGGAACUACCGGGCUGGAGUGCCGGAGAGGUAGGCGGAAUUCCUAGUGUAGCAGUGAAAUGCGUAGAUAUUAGGAGGAACACCAAUGGCGAAGGCGGCCUACUGGACGGUGACUGACGCUGAGGCUCGAAAGCGUGGGGAGCAAACAGG